This is a long non-coding RNA of Ipomoea nil (Japanese morning glory), 495 nucleotides long. RefSeq lists it as uncharacterized. The transcript is spliced from 3 exons. The record is from RefSeq and is a predicted model, not a curated record. NCBI's taxonomy places the organism in Eukaryota, Viridiplantae, Streptophyta, Magnoliopsida, Solanales, Convolvulaceae.
UUUUGGGGAAAGAUUAAGAUUAAUAUUUUCCCAAAACCCUAAUAAAUUUAUGGCAGAAGUGUCAAAUAGGCUCAUCUAAUAUCUCGAAGUGUUCAAUUCACCCCACCGUCUAAAACAUAUGGUAAUUAGGCACACUUACCUCCUAAAAUUGUUCAAUGAGCUUUUUUCGCAGGUUACCUUCGGGUUACCAAUCCACAUUACUGACAUGUAAUUUUAGUAUAAUAAAAGUAUGUAGUCAGGUGGAAAUGUGUGGUCAUAUGUGGCUCCAUCACUGACUUCAGAGUCUUCCUCUCUGUUGUCUUCGUACGGUUCUUCAUCGCUUCCUGGUAUAAGUUCUGCAAACCCUGUCAGCUGUCCACGACGGCGUAAGUUCUUCGAUUCUCCAAAAACGUUCUAGUUGCCGGCUGAAAACUGGGGUUCGGACAAAACAACAACAAUUCCGAUGAAGAAUCGUCCACAAUUAGGGAUAACCACUCGAUGGAGGUUUAAUAUUUU